RNAcentral lists this ribosomal RNA (253 nucleotides) under uncultured bacterium. RNAcentral describes it as "partial 16S ribosomal RNA". It matches the Rfam family "Bacterial small subunit ribosomal RNA", at positions 524 to 776 of the family's 1533-position model. The record is from RNAcentral.
UACGGGGGGGGCAAGCGUUGUUCGGAAUUACUGGGCGUAAAGGGCGCGUAGGCGGCCUUCUAAGUCGGAUGUGAAAUCCCCAGGCUUAACCUGGGAACUGCAUCCGAUACUGGAUGGCUUGAAUCCGGGAGAGGGAUGCAGAAUUCCAGGUGUAGCGGUGAAAUGCGUAGAUAUCUGGAGGAAUACCGGUGGCGAAGGCGGCAUCCUGGACCGGCAUUGACGCUGAUGAGCGAAAGCUAGGGGAGCAAACGGG